GACGAACGCUGGCGGCGUGCUUAACACAUGCAAGUCGAACGGAAAGGCCCUGCUUGCAGGGUACUCGAGUGGCGAACGGGUGAGUAACACGUGGGUGAUCUGCCCUGCACUUCGGGAUAAGCCUGGGAAACUGGGUCUAAUACCGGAUAGGAGCCAUUUUUAGUGUGAUGGUUGGAAAGUUUUUUCGGUGUAGGAUGAGCUCGCGGCCUAUCAGCUUGUUGGUGGGGUAAUGGCCUACCAAGGCGGCGAGGGGUAGCCGGCCUGAGAGGGUGGACGGCCACAUUGGGACUUAGAGACGGCCCAGACUCCUACGGGAGGCAGCAGUGGGGAAUAUUGCACAAUGGGCGCAAGCCUGAUGCAGCGACGCCGCGUGGGGGAUGACGGCCUUCGGGUUGUAAACUCCUUUCGCUGGGGACGAAGCUUUUUGUGACGGUACCUAGAUAAGAAGCACCGGCUAACUACGUG
This 465-nucleotide ribosomal RNA is filed under the name uncultured bacterium. Its description in RNAcentral is "partial 16S ribosomal RNA". It matches the Rfam family "Bacterial small subunit ribosomal RNA", at positions 28 to 507 of the family's 1533-position model. The record is from RNAcentral.